AUUUUAUUAGUAUAAGAGAGUAUAAUUAUUUUCCAAAUAAUUGGUUUAAUAUGUUUAAAUAAGAUA
Molecule: transfer RNA, 66 nt
Filed under: Graneledone verrucosa
Lineage: Eukaryota; Metazoa; Mollusca; Cephalopoda; Octopoda; Octopodidae
Description: tRNA-Gly
Source: RNAcentral